Molecule: ribosomal RNA, 491 nt
Filed under: uncultured bacterium
Lineage: Bacteria
Description: partial 16S ribosomal RNA
Rfam family: Bacterial small subunit ribosomal RNA
Source: RNAcentral
GAUGAACGCUAGCUACAGGCUUAACACAUACAAGUCGAGGGGAAACGACAUUGAAGCUUGCUUCGAUGGUCGUCGACCGGCGCACGGGUGAGUAACGCGUAUCCAACCUGCCUCUGACCAAGGGAUAACCCGUCGAAAGUCGGCCUAAUACCUUAUGCAGUCGUCGGAAGUCAUCUGAUGACGACGAAAGAUUUCAUCGGUGAGAGAUGGGGAUGCGUCUGAUUAGCUUGUUGGCGGGGUAACGGCCCACCAAGGCAACGAUCAGUAGGGGUUCUGAGAGGAAGGUCCCCCACAUUGGAACUGAGACACGGUCCAAACUCCUACGGGAGGCAGCAGUGAGGAAUAUUGGUCAAUGGGCGAGAGCCUGAACCAGCCAAGUAGCGUGCAGGAUGACGGCCCUAUGGGUUGUAAACUGCUUUUAUGCGGGGAUAAAGUGAGGGACGUGUCCUUCAUUGCAGGUACCGCAUGAAUAAGAACCGGCUAAUUCCGUG